AUUGAACGCUGGCGGCAGGCCUAACACAUGCAAGUCGAACGGUAACAGGAAGCAGCUUGCUGCUUCGCUGACGAGUGGCGGACGGGUGAGUAAUGUCUGGGAAACUGCCUGAUGGAGGGGGAUAACUACUGGAAACGGUAGCUAAUACCGCAUAACGUCGCAAGACCAAAGAGGGGGACCUUAGGGCCUCUUGCCAUCGGAUGUGCCCAGAUGGGAUUAGCUAGUAGGUGGGGUAACGGCUCACCUAGGCGACGAUCCCUAGCUGGUCUGAGAGGAUGACCAGCCACACUGGAACUGAGACACGGUCCAGACUCCUACGGGAGGCAGCAGUGGGGAAUAUUGCACAAUGGGCGCAAGCCUGAUGCAGCCAUGCCGCGUGUAUGAAGAAGGCCUUCGGGUUGUAAAGUACUUUCAGCGGGGAGGAAGGGAGUAAAGUUAAUACCUAUGCUCAUUGACGUUACCCGCAGAAGAAGCACCGGCUAACUCCGUG
Molecule: ribosomal RNA, 490 nt
Filed under: uncultured bacterium
Lineage: Bacteria
Description: partial 16S ribosomal RNA
Rfam family: Bacterial small subunit ribosomal RNA
Source: RNAcentral